RNAcentral lists this long non-coding RNA (333 nucleotides) under Prunus dulcis (almond). RNAcentral describes it as "sRNA ncRNA". Lineage: Eukaryota; Viridiplantae; Streptophyta; Magnoliopsida; Rosales; Rosaceae. The record is from RNAcentral.
AUGGACACAGAUAAUUGGGUCUCUUUAGUGCAUACUGAACUCGUUAAGGCCCCAUUGUUUUUUGAUCAGAAUGUUAAUAAGUUAUUAAAACAAGUAUGCUCUAAAGCUUAUGUUGACCCACCAUUAUAUGCUCUUGGGAAUCUAAGUCUUUCGAUAUAUAAUAAGUAUUCAAUUUAUGGUGCGGCUAAAUGUACUAGAGAUCUUUCUAGCCAAAAUUGUAUGAAGUGCCUUGAUGUUGCAAUUGAGAAACGUCUUAGUCAAAGUCAUGGAAGGAGAGGUGGGCAAGUUUAUUAUGGAAGUUGUUAUAUUAGAUUCGAACUUUACUCCUUUUAA